GCCCAGAUGGUGAAAUUGGUAGACACGCUAGCUUGAGGGGCUAGUGGCCACUUUACGGCCGUGGAGGUUCAAGUCCUCUUCUGGGCACCA
Molecule: transfer RNA, 90 nt
Filed under: Candidatus Peregrinibacteria bacterium HGW-Peregrinibacteria-1
Lineage: Bacteria; Candidatus Peregrinibacteriota
Description: tRNA-Leu
Rfam family: tRNA
About the family: Transfer RNA (tRNA) molecules are approximately 80 nucleotides in length.
Source: RNAcentral